This 465-nucleotide ribosomal RNA is filed under the name uncultured bacterium. Its description in RNAcentral is "partial 16S ribosomal RNA". It matches the Rfam family "Bacterial small subunit ribosomal RNA", at positions 338 to 795 of the family's 1533-position model. The record is from RNAcentral.
CCUACGGGAGGCUGCAGUAGGGAAUCUUCCACAAUGGGCGAAAGCCUGAUGCAGCAACGCCGCGUGGGUGAAGAAGGUCUUCGGAUCGUAAAACCCUGUUGUUAGAGAAGAAAGUGCUUGAGAGUAACUGUUCACGUUUCGACGGUAUCUAACCAGACAGCCACGGCUAACUACGUGCCAGCAGCCGCGGUCAUACGUAGGUGGCAAGCGUUAUCCGGAUUUAUUGGGCGUAAAGGGAACGCAGGCGGUCUUUUAAGUCUGAUGUGAAAGCCUUCGGCUUAACCGGAGUAGUGCAUUGGAUACUGGGAGAAUUGAGUGCAGAAGAGGAGAGUGGAACGCCAUGUGUAGCGGUGAAAUGCGUAGAUAUAUGGAAGAACACCAGUGGCGAAAGCGGCUCUCUGGUAUGUAACUGACGCUGAGGUUCGAAAGCGUGGGUAGCAAACAGGAUUAGAUACCCCGGUAGUC